UUCUAAUAUGGCAGAUUAGUGCAAUGGAUUUAAGCUUCAUAUAUAAAGGAAUACCCUUUUAUUAGAAA
RNAcentral lists this transfer RNA (68 nucleotides) under Austrosimulium sp. RNAcentral describes it as "tRNA-Leu". Lineage: Eukaryota; Metazoa; Arthropoda; Insecta; Diptera; Simuliidae. The record is from RNAcentral.